This 253-nucleotide ribosomal RNA is filed under the name uncultured bacterium. RNAcentral's name for it is "partial 16S ribosomal RNA". It matches the Rfam family "Bacterial small subunit ribosomal RNA", at positions 524 to 776 of the family's 1533-position model. The record is from RNAcentral.
UACGUAGGGCGCAAGCGUUGUCCGGAAUUAUUGGGCGUAAAGAGCUCGUAGGCGGCCUGUUGCGUCCGCUGUGAAAUCCCGGGGCUCAACCCCGGGCGUGCAGUGGAUACGGGCUGGCUGGAGGCAGGCAGGGGAGAACGGAAUUCCUGGUGUAGCGGUGAAAUGCGCAGAUAUCAGGAGGAACACCGGUGGCGAAGGCGGGUCUCUGGGCCGAUAUUGACGCUGAGGAGCGAAAGCGUGGGGAGCGAACAGG